ACCAACUCUAGCCCUAACAAACUUUAAUACAACUAUACUAAUACACUUAAAUUAAACCAUUUAAUCUAAUCAAAAGUAUUGGAGAAAGAAAUUAACCUUAGGAGCUAUAGAAGAAGUACCGCAAGGGAAAGAUGAAAG
This 138-nucleotide ribosomal RNA is filed under the name Hybomys univittatus (Peter's striped mouse). Its description in RNAcentral is "partial 16S ribosomal RNA". The record is from RNAcentral. Lineage: Eukaryota; Metazoa; Chordata; Mammalia; Rodentia; Muridae.